GUACUCGAUGGCUCAGCUGGAUAGAGCGUCUGCCCUGUAAGCAGGAGAUCCCGGGUUCGAGUCCCUGUCGAGGCG
Schistocerca americana (American grasshopper) is the source of this 75-nucleotide non-coding RNA. The record is from the annotation of a RefSeq genome assembly. NCBI's taxonomy places the organism in Eukaryota, Metazoa, Arthropoda, Insecta, Orthoptera, Acrididae.